UACGGAGGGUGCAAGCAUUGAUCGGAAUUACUGGGCGUAAAGGGCGCGUAGGCGGCAGGGAAAGUCAGAUGUGAAAUUCCGGGGCUCAACCCCGGAGCUGCAUUUGAAACUUCUCUGCUAGAGUUCAGUUAGGGAAAACGGAAUUCCACAUGUAGCGGUGAAAUGCGUAGAUAUGUGGAAGAACACCGGUGGUGAAGACGGUUUUCUGGGCUGAGACUGACGCUGAGGCGCGAGAGCUAGGGGAGCAAACAGG
RNAcentral lists this ribosomal RNA (253 nucleotides) under uncultured bacterium. RNAcentral's name for it is "partial 16S ribosomal RNA". It matches the Rfam family "Bacterial small subunit ribosomal RNA", at positions 524 to 776 of the family's 1533-position model. The record is from RNAcentral.